This 494-nucleotide ribosomal RNA is filed under the name uncultured bacterium. RNAcentral describes it as "partial 16S ribosomal RNA". It matches the Rfam family "Bacterial small subunit ribosomal RNA", at positions 28 to 507 of the family's 1533-position model. The record is from RNAcentral.
GACGAACGCUGGCGGCGUGCUUAACACAUGCAAGUCGAACGGUGAAGCGCCUUCCUUUUUGGUGGGUGUGGAUGAGUGGCGAACGGGUGAGUAACACGUGAGUAACCUGCCCCCUUCUUCUGGAUAACCGCAUGAAAGUGUGGCUAAUACGGGAUAUUCUGGGUCUGUCGCAUGAUGGGUCUGGGAAAGAUAUUGUUUCGGUGGGGGAUGGGCUCGCGGCCUAUCAGCUUGUUGGUGGGGUGAUGGCCUACCAAGGCGGUGACGGGUAGCCGGCCUGAGAGGGUGGACGGUCACACUGGGACUGAGACACGGCCCAGACUCCUACGGGAGGCAGCAGUGGGGAAUAGUGCACAAUGGGAGCAAGGCUGAUGCAGCGACGCCGCGUGAGGGAUGGAGGCCUUCGGGUUGUGAACCUCUUUCGCCAGUGAAGCAGGCCUGCCUCGUUUGUGGGUGGGUUGACGGUAGCUGGAUAAGAAGCGCCGGCUAACUACGUG